RNAcentral lists this long non-coding RNA (300 nucleotides) under Theobroma cacao (cacao). RNAcentral's name for it is "long non-coding RNA (TCAC_LNC000096)". The record is from RNAcentral. Lineage: Eukaryota; Viridiplantae; Streptophyta; Magnoliopsida; Malvales; Malvaceae.
AUACAUUUUCUCAAUUCAAUCUUUCCCGCUGCUCAAACAGUUCUAAGUUACUCUAAUUGUGCAAAGAAAAUGAAAUGAUUAUGCGUGAAAACAUUAUCCUAAAUGGCCUCCUCGGUGGCUAAAUAAGAUCAUAAUGUUAGAGGAACCAGUUACAUAAAAAGGGUAUUUAGGGGAGGCUCCACUAAUCUCUUAGUUUACUUCUUCCUCUUCUUUGGAGGCUGGAGGGCUUCCUCAUCUUCAUCGUCCUCAUCCUCAUCUUCGUUUUCUACUCCGUCAACAUCUUCCUCGUCCUCUUCUCCG